RNAcentral lists this ribosomal RNA (367 nucleotides) under uncultured bacterium. Its description in RNAcentral is "bacterial SSU rRNA". It matches the Rfam family "Bacterial small subunit ribosomal RNA", at positions 527 to 892 of the family's 1533-position model. The record is from RNAcentral.
AGAGGGGGCAAGCGUUGUUCGGAAUUACUGGGCGUAAAGGGCGCGUAGGCGGCCUUCUAAGUCGAACGUGAAAUCCCCGGGCUCAACCCGGGAACUGCGUCCGAUACUGGAAGGCUUGAAUCCGGGAGAGGGAUGUGGAAUUCCAGGUGUAGCGGUGAAAUGCGUAGAUAUCUGGAGGAACACCGGUGGCGAAGGCGGCAUCCUGGACCGGCAUUGACGCUGAGGCGCGAAAGCCAGGGGAGCAAACGGGAUUAGAUACCCCGGUAGUCCUGGCCCUAAACGAUGAAUGCUUGGUGUGGCGGGUAUCGAUCCCUGCCGUGCCGAAGCUAACGCAUUAAGCAUUCCGCCUGGGGAGUACGGUCGCAAG